CCUACGGGGUGCUGCAGUGGGGAAUAUUGCACAAUGGGGGAAACCCUGAUGCAGCAACGCCGCGUGAGUGAAGAAGUACUUCGGUAUGUAAAGCUCUAUCAGCAGGGAAGAAAAGGACAGGACCUGACUCACAACCCCCGUCUAACGACGGGCCAGCAGCCGUGGGAAUACGUAGGGGGCAACCGUUAUCCGGAUUUACUGGGUGUAAAGGGAGCGUAGACGGCUUCGCAAGUCAGCAGUGAGAGCCCGGGGCUCAACCGCGGGACUGCUUUUGAAACUGUAUAGCUUGAGUGCAGGAGAGGUAAGUGGAAUUCCUAGUGUAGCGGUGAAAUGCGUAGAUAUUAGGAGGAACACCGGUGGCGAAGGCGGCUUACUGGACUGUAACUGACGUUGAGGCUCGAAAGCGUGGGGAGCAAACAGGAUUAGAUACCCGAGUAGUC
This 440-nucleotide ribosomal RNA is filed under the name uncultured bacterium. Its description in RNAcentral is "partial 16S ribosomal RNA". It matches the Rfam family "Bacterial small subunit ribosomal RNA", at positions 338 to 795 of the family's 1533-position model. The record is from RNAcentral.